This 774-nucleotide ribosomal RNA is filed under the name uncultured Neocallimastigales. RNAcentral describes it as "partial large subunit ribosomal RNA". It matches the Rfam family "Eukaryotic large subunit ribosomal RNA", at positions 22 to 621 of the family's 3401-position model. Lineage: Eukaryota; Fungi; Neocallimastigomycota; Neocallimastigomycetes; Neocallimastigales. The record is from RNAcentral.
AUAUCAGUCAUGCAUAGCAUAUCAAUAAGCGGAGGAAAAGAAACUAACAAGGAUUCCCUUAGUAACGGCGAGUGAAGCGGGAAGAGCUCAAAUUUGAAAUCUUCAAGGUUUUACCUUGACGAAUUGUAGUUUAAAGAAGUGUUUUCUGUUGAAGUUUUGGUAAAAGUUCUUUGGAAUAGGACAUCAUAGAGGGUGAGAAUCCCGUAUUUGACCAUUACUUUCAGCUUUGUGAUACACUUUCAAAGAGUCGGAUUGUUUGGGAAUGCAGUCCAAAAUGGGUGGUAAAUUUCAUCUAAAGCUAAAUAUUGGCGAGAGACCGAUAGCGAACAAGUACCGUGAGGGAAAGAUGAAAAGAACUUUGAAAAGAGAGUCAAACAGUACGUGAAAUUGUCAAAAGGGAAGCGUUUGACACCAGUGUUGUUUUCUCGAAAAUCAAUUAAAAAGAGUUGGAUUUUGUGUUGUAUUGACUUUAUCAGCUUUCUUCACUCUUUUCCAGCUUUUUUUAAUGCACUUUUCGUUUAACAAGUCAACAUCAGUUUCUUUUGUUGUAAAAAGGUCAUUGGAAGGUGGCUUUCUCUUCGGAGAAAGUGUUUAUAGCCUUUGACUCAUGCAAUCGGAGAGACUGAGGUCUGCAGCGUAGAUCCUUCGGGGUUAGAUACAUUUGUGCUAAGUUAUAGCUUUUCAUAGACAACUUGUUGACUAUGUUUAGUCUUGUAGCUUACUUGCUUAUGCUAUUUUACCUACGCUUAGGAUGUUGAACUCUAUCACACACAG